ACCAACCGAGAAAAGUGCAUCAGUAUAUGUUUGGGGAGCAACCGACCUCUCUCCUCCUCGCCUCCACCCCCUGCAGAGCCCCAGGAGCAAGCAUGGCGGACGUCGAUGCUUUCGGCCGCGAGUACUUCGACUGCGGGUGGGCUUGCGGCCUGCCCGCCGACCACUAUCUGCCGAGCUUCAUCGAGAAGCACAUAGGCCGACAUGUGAGGGCGGAUGAGCGGGCAGCAGCUGCAGCGGCAGCGGCGGCAGAUCAGGCGGCGGCAGAGGCACCAGCUCGCCGCCGGCGCAGAGGCGGACGACGCCGCGCCAGAGGCGGCCGCUAGUUACGUAUGGAUCCUAGAAGCAGGCCCGCAACUGGUAGACAGGGGAUCUGCCAGGACUAAUCGAAGUGCACAUAAAGAACAGCGUUUGAAGUAGAUCGAAAUCAGACAUUCGUCGUAUUCUUUGUUAUCAUACAAACGUGUCUUGUUUCUGCUACGUUUCUCAUACAAAUUGUCUCUGGAACUCUGCAUGGACAAAUGGGGAACUGGCUUGUUCCAGCUUUGACAAAUCGAAAUCAGCACUAUCUUGCUGUUACAACA
This is a long non-coding RNA of Triticum aestivum (bread wheat), 581 nucleotides long. RefSeq lists it as uncharacterized. Lineage: Eukaryota; Viridiplantae; Streptophyta; Magnoliopsida; Poales; Poaceae. The record is from RefSeq and is a predicted model, not a curated record. The transcript is spliced from 2 exons.